This 236-nucleotide long non-coding RNA is filed under the name Ananas comosus (pineapple). RNAcentral describes it as "long non-coding RNA (ACOM_LNC000375)". Lineage: Eukaryota; Viridiplantae; Streptophyta; Magnoliopsida; Poales; Bromeliaceae. The record is from RNAcentral.
UGCCGGCGACCGACGACGACAAGACUGGGGUGUGAUUUGCGGCCGGAUCCGCGGGAUCUGCGUACAGCAAUGGCGCGAUCUCCGGGAUUUGCGUACGAGAUGGCGGUAUUUGCGGGAUCUCCGGCUCAGCGAGCGGCGCGGAAUAGCGAGACAGUGCGCCGGUGAGAUUUCGGGUGCGGGAUUCGUGAGAUCUGUGUAUGGGGCGGAUUUCUGGCGAAUCGGCGGGCUUCACAGGA